Molecule: ribosomal RNA, 239 nt
Filed under: Xanthomonas vesicatoria
Lineage: Bacteria; Pseudomonadati; Pseudomonadota; Gammaproteobacteria; Lysobacterales; Lysobacteraceae
Description: partial 23S ribosomal RNA
Rfam family: Bacterial large subunit ribosomal RNA
Source: RNAcentral
AUCAAAAACACAGCACUCUGCAAACACGAAAGUGGACGUAUAGGGUGUGACGCCUGCCCGGUGCUGGAAGGUUAAUUGAUGGGGUCAGCCGCAAGGCGAAGCUCUUGAUCGAAGCCCCAGUAAACGGCGGCCGUAACUAUAACGGUCCUAAGGUAGCGAAAUUCCUUGUCGGGUAAGUUCCGACCUGCACGAAUGGCGUAACGACAGCGGCGCUGUCUCCACCCGAGACUCAGUGAAAU